Molecule: ribosomal RNA, 253 nt
Filed under: uncultured bacterium
Lineage: Bacteria
Description: partial 16S ribosomal RNA
Rfam family: Bacterial small subunit ribosomal RNA
Source: RNAcentral
UACGUAGGGUGCAAGCGUUGUCCGGAAUUAUUGGGCGUAAAGAGCUCGUAGGCGGUCUGUUGCGUCCGCUGUGAAAACUCGGGGCUUAACCCCGAGCCUGCAGUGGAUACGGGCAGACUAGAGGUAGGUAGGGGAGAAUGGAAUUCCCGGUGUAGCGGUGAAAUGCGCAGAUAUCAGGAGGAACACCGGUGGCGAAGGCGGGACUCUGGGCCGAUACUGACGCUGAGGAGCGAAAGCGUGGGGAGCAAACAGG